CCGAAGCGCUUACACUAUCGCGGUAGCUAUCGAGCCACGUUUCUAGCCUCGUUACGUUUGCAAUGAUUCCAGCAGCACUAGCGGCCUGUUUCGUUCUUCUGCUUUUAACUAUUUUACUGUGAUUUUGCUAUAGGAAGCAUUAGGGUUAUAAGGCAAUAAGAUAAAAGUUUUCCAAAUAUGGAUGUACGGUUAAGGAAACGACUUUUUCUGCAGAUUUAAUUUCCCGAACGUCACUUUCGCGUCACUUUAAAAGUGGUCAUCGGACUGGACUGGACUGACCUGGACUGGAUCAGGAGAAUGAGAAUGAAGUGGAGCGCGGCGGUAUUUGAUUAUGUGCAUUUACAAUUAACGGGAUCAAAUUUGAGACCCUCGCGGGCCAUCGACGUUUAUUUCUAUGAUAAUGGUUUCGGAUUUGACGAGGAUGAUGAUGAGAAGCCAUACAAAGGGGAAGCGGGGGAAACAGAGAAAACUGGAGGAUACCGCGCACGCUUUGAAAUUCAAUUAAAACUUUGGCGAUUUGAAUUUUAGCACAUUUUGAUGCUGCUUCUGCUGUUGUGACUCAUCAAUAAUAAUGAAUUGGUAAGUGAACUGCCAGUGCAGGGAGAAUAAGAAUGAUUUUGUUUGGUGAUGCCCUUUAGUGAAUUUGCGAUAAACUGGAAAAGAAGAACCAUGCAUAUUUUGGCUUGCGGAUUAAUUGGAGAAACCCUGUAUGUGUGAAAACUUCGAAUCGUUUUUUUUUGUUAGGACAGUAAUUUAUAUGUAAAAUGACCGCAUAGAAAAUAUAAAAAAUCA
Long non-coding RNA from Uranotaenia lowii, 792 nucleotides. RefSeq lists it as uncharacterized. Lineage: Eukaryota; Metazoa; Arthropoda; Insecta; Diptera; Culicidae. The record is from RefSeq and is a predicted model, not a curated record. The transcript is spliced from 2 exons.